Long non-coding RNA from Drosophila mauritiana, 545 nucleotides. RefSeq lists it as uncharacterized. Lineage: Eukaryota; Metazoa; Arthropoda; Insecta; Diptera; Drosophilidae. The record is from RefSeq and is a predicted model, not a curated record. The transcript is spliced from 3 exons.
CGUAAUUGGUAACUGCAGGAGGAGUUGUUUACAAGGCGAUGGAGUUCCGCAUGCAAUGUGCAGAUUUUGUUACCAAUCAGGGCAUUUAGUGAAAUGGUGUGGCUUAAAAAAUUUCUCCCAGUGCACGUAUCAUUUUUGUGACCAUAUCAAGGUUGUCUGAUCCCAAGUCUCGAACUCCAUCAUUUCACAAGUUAAGGCAUAAAGAACAACACCAUCUGCAACCACUGUUAAUUAAUUAAUGUGUCGCUUGGUCUGGAUGUGUAUUAAAACAUAUUGACAUUUUCACUGGAUCAGAAACUGAAACCGAAUCCUCAAUUGCAACUGCAAUUGCUAAGUCUUAUGGAAUUUGCUGCUGUGCAUGGCUGCUCACUUUUUCCGGUCCAGGAAUGUGAAUUUAUUGUUCAAAGGUCAGCUUUGUGGCUAAAGUCGUUUGUUUACUUCGAAUGCGUUUGAAUAGACAAUUUUUAAAUGCCCUUCAUUUAUCAAAAAAUUAAAUUCCAUGCUAGAUAGCAAAAAUGACAUUGAUGCAAUAACAUGGUAGAACA